RNAcentral lists this long non-coding RNA (811 nucleotides) under Androctonus crassicauda. Lineage: Eukaryota; Metazoa; Arthropoda; Arachnida; Scorpiones; Buthidae. The record is from RNAcentral.
CCAAAACUAGAAGUUUUGCAGAGCUAAGUAGCAAAAUGUAUUCCUGUGAAUUUUGGCUUAUUCACCAAUGAGAAUGGGAUUGUCUGUCAUGCUGUAUGUUGGUUUUACAAUACUGAUGUAAAAGAUUAUAGAACCGUCCAUAUAUAGAACUUACCCACCCACUAAUAUGAAUGGGAAAGGUUAAAGUUAACUUGAUUCAGGUUUAUGUGAAAUUGUUUAAUUCAGUGGUGUUAUCGACUAUGACAUAUGGUUCACCACUUUGGGCUUCAACUUUUUCAGAAGACCUCAAGUCUGUUUUCAUAUGUUAUAUAAGAAGAAUUUUCAGUGUUUACUACAAGAUUCUGGGAUUUCUAAUGAGAUUGGAGUUGAGAAUUUCUUGUAUUUCUGUGAUACUUGUUAAGCAAUUAUUGUUAUAUUGGAUUAGGGUGUUAUUUAUGGAUAAUACUGUUCAUGCUAAGAUAGCUUAUUUGUGAUUGUGUUCUUUUGGCAUCGCAAAAUGGCAAUUGACUUUGGCUUUUCAGAGCAUUCUUAAUGAUCUCAGUUUUAGUUUUUGAUGGGAUUUGCAGGAUCCAGUAUUGACUGAAAGUUUCUUGUCAAGGAUAUUACAGGUGAAGCUGGAUCAAUGUAUCCAAAAAGAUUGUGUGGCUUUGAGAGCUAAUCGUUAUUUUAAUUUAUAUAGUAUGGUUAAACUGGAUGUUUGUACAGAACCUUAUCUUAUGUUACAUUUUUUUAUAGAGAAUGUUAUUUCAGUUACAUUGUGACCAAAAUUAUUUGUGUGUAUAUAAAUAUAAAACUUCACUUGUAAUUCACU